UGUGAGCUCGAUGAGUAGGGCGGGACACGUGGUAUCCUGUCUGAAUAUGGGGGGACCAUCCUCCAAGGCUAAAUACUCCUGACUGACCGAUAGUGAACCAGUACCGUGAGGGAAAGGCGAAAAGAACCCCGGCGAGGGGAGUGAAAAAGAACCUGAAACCGUGUACGUACAAGCAGUGGGAGCCUCUUUUAUGGGGUGACUGCGUACCUUUUGUAUAAUGGGUCAGCGACUUAUAUUCUGUAGCAAGGUUAACCGAAUAGGGGAGCCGAAGGGAAACCGAGUCUUAACUGGGCGUUAAGUUGCAGGGUAUAGACCCGAAACCCGGUGAUCUAGCCAUGGGCAGGUUGAAGGUUGGGUAACACUAACUGGAGGACCGAACCGACUAAUGUUGAAAAAUUAGCGGAUGACUUGUGGCUGGGGGUGAAAGGCCAAUCAAACCGGGAGAUAGCUGGUUCUCCCCGAAAGCUAUUUAGGUAGCGCCUCGUGAAUUCAUCUCCGGGGGUAGAGCACUGUUUCGGCAAGGGGGUCAUCCCGACUUACCAACCCGAUGCAAACUGCGAAUACCGGAGAAUGUUAUCACGGGAGACACACGGCGGGUGCUAACGUCCGUCGUGAAGAGGGAAACAACCCAGACCGCCAGCUAAGGUCCCAAAGUCAUGGUUAAGUGGGAAACGAUGUGGGAAGGCCCAGACAGCCAGGAUGUUGGCUUAGAAGCAGCCAUCAUUUAAAGAAAGCGUAAUAGCUCACUGGUCGAGUCGGCCUGCGCGGAAGAUGUAACGGGGCUAAACCAUGCACCGAAGCUGCGGCAGCGACGCUUAUGCGUUGUUGGGUAGGGGAGCGUUCUGUAAGCCUGUGAAGGUGUGCUGUGAGGCAUGCUGGAGGUAUCAGAAGUGCGAAUGCUGACAUAAGUAACGAUAAAGCGGGUGAAAAGCCCGCUCGCCGGAAGACCAAGGGUUCCUGUCCAACGUUAAUCGGGGCAGGGUGAGUCGACCCCUAAGGCGAGGCCGAAAGGCGUAGUCGAUGGGAAACAGGUUAAUAUUCCUGUACUUGGUGUUACUGCGAAGGGGGGACGGAGAAGGCUAUGUUGGCCGGGCGACGGUUGUCCCGGUUUAAGCGUGUAGGCUGGUUUUCCAGGCAAAUCCGGAAAAUCAAGGCUGAGGCGUGAUGACGAGGCACUACGGUGCUGAAGCAACAAAUGCCCUGCUUCCAGGAAAAGCCUCUAAGCAUCAGGUAACAUCAAAUCGUACCCCAAACCGACACAGGUGGUCAGGUAGAGAAUACCAAGGCGCUUGAGAGAACUCGGGUGAAGGAACUAGGCAAAAUGGUGCCGUAACUUCGGGAGAAGGCACGCUGAUAUGUAGGUGAAGUCCCUUGCGGAUGGAGCUGAAAUCAGUCGAAGAUACCAGCUGGCUGCAACUGUUUAUUAAAAACACAGCACUGUGCAAACACGAAAGUGGACGUAUACGGUGUGACGCCUGCCCGGUGCCGGAAGGUUAAUUGAUGGGGUCAGCGCAAGCGAAGCUCUUGAUCGAAGCCCCGGUAAACGGCGGCCGUAACUAUAACGGUCCUAAGGUAGCGAAAUUCCUUGUCGGGUAAGUUCCGACCUGCACGAAUGGCGUAAUGAUGGCCAGGCUGUCUCCACCCGAGACUCAGUGAAAUUGAACUCGCUGUGAAGAUGCAGUGUACCCGCGGCAAGACGGAAAGACCCCGUGAACCUUUACUAUAGCUUGACACUGAACAUUGAGCCUUGAUGUGUAGGAUAGGUGGGAGGCUU
RNAcentral lists this ribosomal RNA (1774 nucleotides) under Escherichia coli. RNAcentral's name for it is "partial 23S ribosomal RNA". It matches the Rfam family "Bacterial large subunit ribosomal RNA", at positions 398 to 2157 of the family's 2925-position model. Lineage: Bacteria; Pseudomonadati; Pseudomonadota; Gammaproteobacteria; Enterobacterales; Enterobacteriaceae. The record is from RNAcentral.